GCCGCCGUCACCGUUCAUCUAUUCUCCACCAUCUCCUCCACUGCCACACUCGCCGGCUGCCCAAUCGUCACCACCACCGUGUGCACCGCCAUCGCAACCACCCAAACCGGCCUCACCUGCACCCCGCCACCUCGCCGCUCUCGUCGACGCGUUACUCACUCUGCCUCGCCUUCCGCUACUCGCACCACCGCAGGUCACUCUGCACCGGAUCCCGUG
RNAcentral lists this long non-coding RNA (216 nucleotides) under Erythranthe guttata (spotted monkey flower). RNAcentral's name for it is "long non-coding RNA (EGUT_LNC003553)". The record is from RNAcentral. Lineage: Eukaryota; Viridiplantae; Streptophyta; Magnoliopsida; Lamiales; Phrymaceae.